GAUGAACGCUAGCUACAGGCUUAACACAUGCAAGUCGAGGGGCAGCAUGGUCUUAGCUUGCUAAGGCCGAUGGCGACCGGCGCACGGGUGAGUAACACGUAUCCAACCUGCCGUCUACUCUUGGACAGCCUUCUGAAAGGAAGAUUAAUACAAGAUGGCAUCAUGAGUCCGCAUGUUCACAUGAUUAAAGGUAUUCCGGUAGACGAUGGGGAUGCGUUCCAUUAGAUAGUAGGCGGGGUAACGGCCCACCUAGUCUUCGAUGGAUAGGGGUUCUGAGAGGAAGGUCCCCCACAUUGGAACUGAGACACGGUCCAAACUCCUACGGGAGGCAGCAGUGAGGAAUAUUGGUCAAUGGGCGAGAGCCUGAACCAGCCAAGUAGCGUGAAGGAUGACUGCCCUAUGGGUUGUAAACUUCUUUUAUAAAGGAAUAAAGUCGGGUAUGCAUACCCGUUUGCAUGUACUUUAUGAAUAAGGAUCGGCUAACUCCGUGCCAGCAGCCGCGGUAAUACGGAGGAUCCGAGCGUUAUCCGGAUUUAUUGGGUUUAAAGGGAGCGUAGAUGGAUGUUUAAGUCAGUUGUGAAAGUUUGCGGCUCAACCGUAAAAUUGCAGUUGAUACUGGAUAUCUUGAGUGCAGUUGAGGCAGGCGGAAUUCGUGGUGUAGCGGUGAAAUGCUUAGAUAUCACGAAGAACUCCGAUUGCGAAGGCAGCCUGCUAAGCUGCAACUGACAUUGAGGCUCGAAAGUGUGGGUAUCAAACAGGAUUAGAUACCCUGGUAGUCCACACGGUAAACGAUGAAUACUCGCUGUUUGCGAUAUACGGCAAGCGGCCAAGCGAAAGCGUUAAGUAUUCCACCUGGGGAGUACGCCGGCAACGGUGAAACUCAAAGGAAUUGACGGGGGCCCGCACAAGCGGAGGAACAUGUGGUUUAAUUCGAUGAUACGCGAGGAACCUUACCCGGGCUUAAAUUGCAGAUGAAUUACGGUGAAAGCCGUAAGCCGCAAGGCAUCUGUGAAGGUGCUGCAUGGUUGUCGUCAGCUCGUGCCGUGAGGUGUCGGCUUAAGUGCCAUAACGAGCGCAACCCUUGUUGUCAGUUACUAACAGGUUCCGCUGAGGACUCUGACAAGACUGCCAUCGUAAGAUGUGAGGAAGGUGGGGAUGACGUCAAAUCAGCACGGCCCUUACGUCCGGGGCUACACACGUGUUACAAUGGGGGGUACAGAGGGCCGCUACCACGCGAGUGGAUGCCAAUCCCCAAAACCUCUCUCAGUUCGGACUGGAGUCUGCAACCCGACUCCACGAAGCUGGAUUCGCUAGUAAUCGCGCAUCAGCCACGGCGCGGUGAAUACGUUCCCGGGCCUUGUACACACCGCCCGUCAAGCCAUGGGNAGCCGGGGGUACCUGAAGUGCGUAACCGCGAGGAGCGCCCUAGGGUAAAACUGGUGACUGGGGCUAAGUCGUAACAAGGUAGCCGUACCGGAAGG
Molecule: ribosomal RNA, 1481 nt
Filed under: uncultured bacterium
Lineage: Bacteria
Description: bacterial SSU rRNA
Rfam family: Bacterial small subunit ribosomal RNA
Source: RNAcentral